UACGUAGGUGGCAAGCGUUAUCCGGAAUUAUUGGGUGUAAAGGGUGCGUAGACGGGAAUCUAAGUUAGUUGUGAAAUCCCUCGGCUUAACUGAGGAACUGCAACUAAAACUGGAUUUCUUGAGUGCAGGAGAGGAAAGUGGAAUUCCUAGUGUAGCGGUGAAAUGCGUAGAUAUUAGGAGGAACACCAGUGGCGAAGGCGGCUUUCUGGACUGUAACUGACGUUGAGGCACGAAAGUGUGGGGAGCAAACA
Molecule: ribosomal RNA, 251 nt
Filed under: uncultured bacterium
Lineage: Bacteria
Description: partial 16S ribosomal RNA
Rfam family: Bacterial small subunit ribosomal RNA
Source: RNAcentral